This 903-nucleotide unclassified non-coding RNA is filed under the name Hevea brasiliensis (rubber tree). The record is from RNAcentral. Lineage: Eukaryota; Viridiplantae; Streptophyta; Magnoliopsida; Malpighiales; Euphorbiaceae.
GUAACUGCUCUAAAUCGUUCUUGACCAGCCGUAUCCCAUAUCUGCGCUUUAACCUCCUUCCCAUUUAUGUUUAUCUUUUGAGUCUGAAAUUCUACUCCAAUUGUCGAUUUUGAGUUUGGAUAGAAUUCAUCUCUAGCAAAUCUAGCAAGCAAAUUCGAUUUACCAACUGCAGAAUCACCAAUCAAUACAAUCUUGAAAAGGUAGUCCUCUUUUUUUUCUUCCUCGGAAUUGUGUGCCAUCUUCUUCACCACAUAAAAUGGGAAGCUAGAACAUCAUAACUACUUAUUUAUGCCGAAAUAAAGAAAAGUAAAGAAUGAACAGGUAUAGGCCCUUGGAAAAAACUUCAAAGGCAGGGGUCGGCUACAGAAGGAAACAGCAAAAGUAAAGAAGAAAGAAGUCUCAGAGGUAAAUGUUCUAUCAGGAGAUGAGGAGUGGUGGAAAAAUAUUCAAAGUGGACUUGCAAAGCACCAUGAACUAAAACUUCCCUCCAGUCACUGUAGUUACUUCUUCGAGUUCAGAUUCAGUCCUAAAAGGAAAGUGAUGACUUUCAAAUAUCUACACAAAAGCAAAGCAUCAGAAACUUAAAGUUCAGCAAAGAAUGAAGUGUCCCACCCUGUGCUAAGCUCCCACUCCCUUGCUUCUUGCCGUCAAGUAUUAAGCUCAAAACCCAAUUCUUUAUAAUGAUCAAAAUGCUAUAUUCCCUUAUCAAUCUAUCAAGUGGUGUGAUCAAAUCAAGAACCAGAUCAAUGAAUCAAACAGCUCUAAAAAUGGGGUAAUUUGAAAAUUUUGUUAGAAAAAAACAUAGGAAUCAAAUGAUUAUGUUUUUGGGUUUUGGAGAGAUUAAGGAAAAUUUCAAGAUUCAGGCAAGAUGGGAGAAGGAGAGAGAGAGAGACACCAGAUUUA